GACGGCCGCCGGGACGAGGCAUCAUAAGAAGAAUGCCGAGAGGGAGGAGGCGCAGGCUCCGCCCAGUGGGAGGAGAGCGAUAAUCUCAGGAUCGACUCUAGGGCCUGGACACCGGCCGGAAGCCGAACUACCAGGCGCAGGUGGAGUCUGCGCCUCCCUGACAACAGGUGCCGGUGUCUUUCUCUCCCGGCUGAUGGAAAAGAAGGUCAACUGCACACAAGGGUCUCUCUCAAGAUGGAAAAUUAGACUUGAAUAUUUCAGUUCACACAAGAAGAAUGAAGCAGAGAUGCCCUUUCUACCAGGAUUUGAUGGAAGGACACCAGAUGCUGCAACAAGCCUUUUCAGUUGUAACAGAACAGAAAAAGUCAAGCAAGCAGAGGCUCACUGACCCCAUCCCAUGCAGAGAGAACACAACCUUCUGGAGGCACCAGUGACAACAGUUACUCACAGAGCAGCAGCCCCAGAGAUGAUCUCAAUCAGCUCCUUUGUGAUGACAGCCUGGCGAGUGCGGUUGAAAGUCAGCGUCAGUUUGUCAAUCAUAUCAGCUGCACACAAAGAAAAUAAAGUUUUGAAAAGAGUAAUUUCUACUUAAUUAAAGCAAUUAAGAGUUGAAGUAAAUUCUGCUGCAAUUUGGAUCCCCAAUGGCCUCUCGGGUCGGAUGAAGUGUAUGCUUAAAAAGACAUGGAGGAAUGCAAGAGAACUUAUCCCAAAAGGCAGCCCACAUCUAAUGCAUACACAUGCUAGUACUAUAUACACAGAUCACGGUACCUUCAACUUGGAAACAAGUGAAAUUUCAGUUAAUGCUUCUGAAUCUGUUGGUAAUCCUUGUCUAUUUUUUUAUCAUGUGUGUCAUGUAUUUGUAUCUAUGUACGUGCAUGUAUUUGUGUCUAUGUACAUGCAUAUGUGUGAGGGUGGUCUUGGAAACCAGAAGGGGGUAAUGGGUCUUCUGGAAGUGCAAGAGUUCUUGCCCGUGAGGCACCUCUUCUUCAAUCUCUCUGUCUUUUUUCCUCUCAUUCCCUUCUAUGUUUAGCAAGUGUUUUUUUGUCCUAGGUGUUGGGCCUGCAGGAAAGAUGUUUCUAUUCUAGCAGUCAUUCAAAUAAUAAACAAGGACACAAUGGGUCAAGUUAUAAUUGUUAGGUUAAAAAGAACCCUGCCCCACGAGUUAGGGGAGGAGACAGCCCAGGCGGUAGGUGCCUGCCCCACAGCCAUGAGGACUUGAAGACUGCACCAUGUAAACAGGAGAAGUGUCAGUGCACAGCGUACUCCAGUGCUGGGAUGCAGACAAAUGGACGAUCCCUCUACCCAGCCCCGGGCUCACUGGCCAGCCCGACUACUCAAAACUGAACGAGCCUGUCUCAAGAAACAAGGCAGAGAUCUGGCUGAGGCCGACCUGCCAUCCUCCUCUGGUUUCUACACACACAAAGUAUCCAGACACAUCCACAUCACAGACUGAAUGGUGGAGUAGGAGAAGAGUCCUGAACACAGCCAACGCUGUUUGUAUAAUCCAAGAUACAAGUGUCACAUCUAGGUCCAGCACUCAUAACUCAACAGCUAGUCCUAAGAAGAAACAUGGACUGUGAGCAAUCAGAGCAGAUAUAAGGUCACCAGACAGCCUAUAACUGGACCUUCUUGUCUUGUGACUGCCAGAAUGCAGUUCCUUAAGUGACUUAAUACUUAAAUGACCUUGAGAUUGUUCUUGCCACAUCAAGAACUGAAUGACGCCAGGCUGGAGCGUUGGCUCAACAGUAAAGAGCACCAUUGCCCUCGCAGAGCAAGAGCCUGAGCUUGGUUCCCAGACCCAAGGCACCGGCAGAUCGCAACUACCUAAUUCAGUUCCGGGACCUAGAGACCCCUUCCGGCCUCUCUCUGUGGGGCUUUUACGUAACUGAACCCAGACGCAUUAAUAAAAAGGGAUGCAUCUUCAAGAACCCUUGGCUACACAGCAAUGUUGCUUACAGUGUGGACUGUUGUAGAGGACUAUGAGAAUACCUGAGAGAUGGAACCCAGCCACCCCGCAACCCCCUUCAGAGUUUUCUUUACUUUCCUUUAGUAACUCCAUCUUGUCUCUUAACUCUGAAAUAUGCUGCCUACCUCAAAAUUUCUUCAAAAUCCACAAUGGAAAAGCCACUGUUCUACCGCCCUCAUGGGCAGCCCAUUCCAGUGCCUAGACAGUGUGCUUUGCUAAAUAAACUGUUGUCUAUA
Molecule: long non-coding RNA, 2202 nt
Organism: Apodemus sylvaticus (European woodmouse)
Lineage: Eukaryota; Metazoa; Chordata; Mammalia; Rodentia; Muridae
Exons: 3
Source: RefSeq, a predicted model, not a curated record